GACGAACGCUGGCGGCGUGCUUAACACAUGCAAGUCGAACGGAAAGGCCCUGCUUUUGUGGGGUGCUCGAGUGGCGAACGGGUGAGUAACACGUGAGUAACCUGCCCUUGACUUUGGGAUAACUUCAGGAAACUGGGGCUAAUACCGGAUAGGAGCUCCUGCUGCAUGGUGGGGGUUGGAAAGUUUCGGCGGUUGGGGAUGGACUCGCGGCUUAUCAGCUUGUUGGUGGGGUAGUGGCUUACCAAGGCUUUGACGGGUAGCCGGCCUGAGAGGGUGACCGGCCACAUGGGGACUGGGAUACGGCCCGGACUCCUACGGGAGGCAGCAGUGGGGAUUAUGGCACAAGGGGCGGAAGCCUGAUGCAGCAACGCCGCGUGCGGGAGGACGGCCUUCGGGUGGUAAACCGCUUUCGCCUGUGACGAAGCGUGAGUGACGGUAAUGGGGAAAGAAGCACCGGCGAACUACGU
This 467-nucleotide ribosomal RNA is filed under the name uncultured bacterium. RNAcentral describes it as "partial 16S ribosomal RNA". It matches the Rfam family "Bacterial small subunit ribosomal RNA", at positions 28 to 506 of the family's 1533-position model. The record is from RNAcentral.